This 1427-nucleotide ribosomal RNA is filed under the name uncultured organism. RNAcentral describes it as "16S ribosomal RNA". It matches the Rfam family "Bacterial small subunit ribosomal RNA". The record is from RNAcentral.
GACGAACGCUGGCGGCGUGCUUAACACAUGCAAGUCGAACGGAAAGGCCCUGCUUUUGUGGGGUGCUCGAGUGGCGAACGGGUGAGUAACACGUGAGUAACCUGCCCUUGACUUUGGGAUAACUUCAGGAAACUGGGGCUAAUACCGGAUAGGAGCUCCUGCUGCAUGGUGGGGGUUGGAAAGUUUCGGCGGUUGGGGAUGGACUCGCGGCUUAUCAGCUUGUUGGUGGGGUAGUGGCUUACCAAGGCUUUGACGGGUAGCCGGCCUGAGAGGGUGACCGGCCACAUUGGGACUGAGGUACGGCCCAGACUCCUACGGGAGGCAGCAGUGGGGAAUAUUGCACAAUGGGCGGAAGCCUGAUGCAGCAACGCCGCGUGCGGGAUGACGGCCUUCGGGUUGUAAACCGCUUUCGCCUGUGACGAAGCGUGAGUGACGGUAAUGGGUAAAGAAGCACCGGCUAACUACGUGCCAGCAGCCGCGGUGAUACGUAGGGUGCGAGCGUUGUCCGGAUUUAUUGGGCGUAAAGGGCUCGUAGGUGGUUGAUCGCGUCGGAAGUGUAAUCUUGGGGCUUAACCCUGAGCGUGCUUUCGAUACGGGUUGACUUGAGGAAGGUAGGGGAGAAUGGAAUUCCUGGUGGAGCGGUGGAAUGCGCAGAUAUCAGGAGGAACACCAGUGGCGAAGGCGGUUCUCUGGGCCUUUCCUGACGCUGAGGAGCGAAAGCGUGGGGAGCGAACAGGCUUAGAUACCCUGGUAGUCCACGCUGUAAACGGUGGGUACUAGGUGUGGGGUCCAUUCCACGGGUUCCGUGCCGUAGCUAACGCUUUAAGUACCCCGCCUGGGGAGUACGGCCGCAAGGCUAAAACUCAAAGGAAUUGACGGGGCCCCGCACAAGCGGCGGAGCAUGCGGAUUAAUUCGAUGCAACGCGUAGAACCUUACCUGGGUUUGACAUGGAUCGGGAGUGCUCAGAGAUGGGUGUGCCUCUUUUGGGGUCGGUUCACAGGUGGUGCAUGCCUGUCGUCAGCUCGUGUCGUGAGAUGUUGGGUUAAGUCCCGCAACGAGCGCAACCCUUGUUCACUGUUGCCAGCACGUUAUGGUGGGGACUCAGUGGAGACCGCCGGGGUCAACUCGGAGGAAGGUGGGGAUGACGUCAAGUCCUCAUGCCCCUUAUGUCCAGGGCUUCACGCAUGCUACAAUGGCUGGUACAGAGAGUGGCGAGCCUGUGAGGGUGAGCGAAUCUCGGAAAGCCGGUCUCAGUUCGGAUUGGGGUCUGCAACUCGACCUCAUGAAGUCGGAGUCGCUAGUAAUCGCAGAUCAGCAACGCUGCGGUGAAUACGUUCCCGGGGCUUGUACACACCGCCCGUCAAGUCAUGAAAGUUGGUAACACCCGAAGCCGGAGGCCUAACCGUUGUGGGGGAGCCGUCGAAGG